Numida meleagris (helmeted guineafowl) is the source of this 10059-nucleotide long non-coding RNA. RefSeq lists it as uncharacterized. The transcript is spliced from 3 exons. Lineage: Eukaryota; Metazoa; Chordata; Aves; Galliformes; Numididae. The record is from RefSeq and is a predicted model, not a curated record.
GGAGCUGCAGCUGCUAAGAGGCCUCCCCUCAGCUCCUCUGCUCUGGGCUGAAAAAAUGACUUCACCUGCUCCUCAUACACCUCAGUUCUGUCUCUGCUCCCCCUGCCAACUUUCACCUAUCAUUUAAUUAGAUAAGAAAAACAAUGAGUUUGAGCAGGGCCGGCUCUGGUCUCUGCUGGGGCCCUAGGCAGUACCAGAGCACAGAGAACAUUUGAAUAAUAAACAAGUGAAAUUUUUACGGUGGCUUGGAUCAGGCUGUGAUAGCUGUCUCUCACUUGGAGUGAGCUGUCCUGGAGAUGAGGACCGUGCAUGCAGCAAGUGAGGCUCCUCUGGGUUGAGUGUACAUCUUCAGGAAAUGGCGGCACCUGCAUGUUUCGAGGCUGUGAGGCUGACCCCAGCACAGUGCUACAGCGAGGGCUCCCCUUGGGCUCCUUCACCUACUUCUCAGUUGCUAUAGACCAGUGGUUGUGUGAUGCUGGCUACCAAAAGUUAAAGGCCUAGCUUUUAUUUUCUUGCUUUGUUUCAAAAUGUGGAGCCUAAGAAGACUGUAUAAGCAGUGCUCCCAGGAAGGGUGUGCAACCUCUGGGAAGCACCGCCAUGGUUUGAGUGCAUGCCUUGAGCUGGAGCCAAAUCCCUGUAGCUAUUUGGAGGCUGGAUUUGGCUGUCUCAAGUACACCGUGCUGACCAGAAGCCAGCCUACAUGAAGCUGAUGUCCUCUGGUUUCCUGCAGCUCAAGGAAGCGUAGGGUGUCCAUCACCUCCUCUACAGUGGAGUGGUAUCUCACUUGCUAUAGCAGGCUGUGAGGGCUAUAUUCAUUAUGGCUUCUUCUUGUCUCAUUGGCCGGCAUAUUCUCAUAAUAUCCAUGCAGUUGUCCUUCUGUUAUUAUUUAUUGGUUAUUUCAUGAAUCAGGGAGCUCUUUAUGCUUUUUCUGUUUUGUGAUUGCACAGUGGCGUCUGGUCCAUGAGGGAGGUCCAUCAGUGCUACCAUGCUGGAAAUAGUACUUAUUACUGUUAUUAUUCUCAAUAAUUCCAAGUGGGGGCUGCUGUGUAGGUGCCAGAGCUCACAUACUUGAGAAGAAUACCUAACUGCAUGUUUCACAUCAGCACGUGAACCCCUUAAUUUUAAUCUAAGCAAGUCUGCAAGGGGCACAUGUAUUAUCAAUGCCUUUGCAGGCUUGUUUGACUGGAUUUUCUCUAUAAACAAUUCUAUUUCAAAUGUAUGCUUAAUAUAUUCUGUUUUUUUUUAUCAGUCCCUUCACUUUUGUUAAACUGGCUGCAGAGUUCUGCCUGCAUACAAAACUCUUCCUAGCUGAACAUAAAAGUGUAAUUAAAACCACUUAGAAAAUUGAUCUGCAUUUGGGACUAACUCAGCUGGAGGCCUUUGAGGUUUGAUCGCAGAACCUGUCAAACAAGUGUCUGCGGCAGUUCAUGUGACAUAUUUUAGUGUGCUACCUGCUUAUUAUCUCAGCCUUUGAAAAAACAUGCAAAGGACAACAGCUCUCCUACCAUGUCUCCAGGUUGUCAUUUUAACACCAGACCUUCUUGACUGCUCGACAGAUAAGAGUUGGAUCAUCUGCAAGAGCAGAACUGGAAUAACUUAGCAGUAUGCCAAGUUGUGAGCAAGGGCAUUGAAUAUCCCUGCUGAUGGGUGAGGAGCUGAAUGGCUGCAGGACCAACUGCCCCAGAACUCUGCAGGGAGGGACCAUUCUCACAGAGAGCUAGAAGUCCCUAUCAGCCAUGGCAGAGGCCUAACAAGGGGAAGAGUGAAGUCCAUGGAGGUUUUACUUCUGUUAGCAGAACAGCUAUAUGGCAGCAGAGGGGCAGACUGACAGAAUGGUGCCUGACAUGGAAGUGCAGAUGAAGCAAAUGCAUGAAAUUGGCACACUGAUCGACGCUUGCUGAAUGUUGAUGGAGACCAAACGGUGGAUGUGAGCACAGUGAGGCGGUAGAUGAUGUGUUUCAGCAUUCCUUCUUGUAAUGGUAUGACUCACAAUAAUGCCAGUCAGGUACUUACUGGAAACAAAGAACAGGAAGAAGAUUGCUUUGUCAGAUCUAAGGAGUCUGCUUUCUUAAUUUGGAAAAGAUAACUUGUUUUGAAAAUAUGGAGCUAACUGAGAGGCAUUUUGUUUCCUGUUCAGUUGGCUGUAACGUAUACUUUCUAUGGUGUCUAAAUUUCUGCAGCUUUCAGAAUCAUAAACAAACUUGGCCAAAGGUGGUAUAUGAUAACAGAGUUGUAAUUUAUUGUAAUAUAUAACAUAGUGUUUGCUGCUAAAGUCUCCCAGUCAAAGUACUUCUCAGUACUGCAGUGAUUGUCACUAUUAAGGCUAAUAUUUUUCAAGAUUUGACUGGUGAGUUAUUUGAUCAGGCUUAUGGAUACGGUACUCAAAUGUUAUGUUUCAUCAUCUCUAAAACCUGUGGGACUAUAUUUGAAAGGUCUGAGUGGGGCUCAGGAUGUGCCUGAAAACUGGUAUCUACAGAACUAUGCCCCAGUAGUCCUCCAACCACAACUCACCAACAGCAAUGGCUUGGAAAGACAGUUGGAGACGGUCUCAUGGACCCCAUCAGGCAGACGCAUCUGACUCUUUCCUUCUUACUUUUGGCAUGGUCUGAAAAGUGAUUGUAAACUCAUAUCAGUCUGAUUUGAUGUCCUAUUGACUUUAAUUUAUAUUGAAAGAUUAGACCUUACAUGUGCAAUUUAGGUAAGUAACUUCAGGUUAGGCAAGAGUUUGUGAUCUUGUUUUAACUAGCAUUAAUUGACAGCCAAUUGAUUCCAGUUCAGUAAUAUUAUUGUAAAUGCUAAGCUAAAAGCUUCACAAAAUAUGUUUUUGUUUCUGACAUGUACAGACUAGUAUUUACAAUUGUACUCAUUAAUUUGAGAUAAUUGGCAAUUGGCGAUCAAUCAGCUAGAAAAUCCAGGAUCAUCAGUUCUUGUCUAGACAGGAAAAAAAAAUUCAUGAAAUAUAUCCCCAAUUUAAGCCAAGUUGUUUUGUAAUAUGUUCGACACAGAAGGAGAAUUAGAUCACAAAUGCUUCAUCCCCAAAGACAAAUUUCUCUUCUGCCUAUCUCCUUCUCUUUGUAAGAAGGCACAUGUUGAUGUUCCUGCUGUCAAGACUCUGGGUGGACCCCUGAGGUCUUGUUGAAGAAGUGAAGUGGGCUGGCUGUGUCUCAAGUCAGCUCUUCUCCACUAGGAGCUCUUGUGAAGAGCACCAGAAGACAGGACUUGCCCCCGCUUUCCCUUGGGUGCUGCUUUUCAGCUGUGGCCAUACCACUGGCCCCCUCCAUCACAGCAAGGUCCCAAACACAUCCAUGUACAUCUUCAACCUCCCUUGACUCUGGCCCAGACCUGAACGCACCAGCAGGGCUUCCCUGUUUGACCAUGGACCUGCCCUGUCACUGGGGAAGUGCUGGUGGAUUUCCAGGCUGUGUCUGUCCCUGACUGCCCCACAGACCCAAUCCUGACCCUAACCCAUAUCAUGGCUCCUUGGGGUGAAGUCCCUGCUCCCAUCAGCCAUGUCAUCCUGCUGGCUCAUGGCCCUCUUCCAAGUCUUGACAGCAUCACUCACGAAGCAGCGCCAUCUGGCUAAAGUUUUCCUCCUAAGUGAAUCACUGAGUCUGCCUACAAACACGGUAGGCUCUAAAUCAGUGACGACUGAGUUAUAAACAGUUUCUCAGUAAUAAGUGAAACACGUGGGUGAAUUGAAGAGAAACUGGAUGUUUGGAAACAAACAAAACAAAAGUUGACCUCACAGGAAAUCUUCCCUGAUAUAAUCUAUAUCAUUCCUGACUGGAAGGGGAUUAGUUAUAAUAAGUUUCUGAAACCACAGCAAUUUACAUGUGCUGAGGCUAAGGCCACCAGCCUGAAAUGGUAAGCAGACAGAAACCACAGAAAUACCCAGUGACUCAAGGGUUGUCACUUGCUGUAUCAUACUGGGGAUCAUGUUUACACAGACAAGCAAAUAUUUUAGUGUUUUCUUUCAUGCUCCCUUAGGCUAAAUCAGAGAUCUGAUAACUGCUUUCAGCACAAAUACAAUGUCUGUUAAGACUUAGCACCUUGUUUUGUGUAAUGGAUUCCACAGUGUGAGAGAGUUUAUAUUCAGGAAGACAGAGCAGCUCUCAUCUUCUGAAAACAGCCUUUGGCGCUGGGAAAUUUUACUGCAGUAAUCCCCGGUCCUGCUCUUGCUCCAAACUGUUUAACCUUGAUAUGCAUCAGGAGUUCUGUCUUAUCAGGCCAUAAAAGACUUACAGUGCCAGUCUAACGAAGUCCCAAAGUGUUUACAUUAAUGCUGUCUCAGACACUGUAAUGUCUAAAAAUUAGGUGACUGAUCCCAGCAGAGAAAUUCCUCAGCUCCUUAACUUCCAGCAGACUGAGGGAAGGGAGACAGAGCCUAGUUUUUGAUUAUCUGCCUGUUGGCUUCUGUGACUCCUACUGCUGUCAUUGUUGUCUCUACAUACUUCAAUUUUCGAUAGGGCCUUAGCUCAUUUUAUGGUGAUGGGUAGGACUGACCAGUCAUCUGACUGACACUGAGUGUCGGGUCUUGUUUACUCUUUUCCUCCUGCACUCCCAAACCCUGGACCCAUUCUACAGCCUAGAGAUUAGUAUCUUUCUCAGCCCUGACUUUUUCCAUGUAAGUUUGAUCCCUGACAGUUGUAGUUGCUGCCUACAGAUAUUCCUUUGAUUGGGAAAAUAAUACAACCAUACAAUGUUGUUUCUACAUCAGCCCUGCAGUUUUUAGCUCUGUGUCUGCUUGAGAUAGCCAGUCUAACUUUCAAGCCCAGACCCUAGGUGUGUGUGUGUUUCACUUUGAUUCUGAGCGUGAGUGUGAAACCCUAAACUUGUCCCCAUCAUCAGCAAAGUUAGAGAAAACCAGGCUGGAGUCUGUGGGGACAGCAUUGCAAGUCACAGCUGGGAGGAGGUGUUGGCAAUGCAGCUCUCUGCUACCUAGCCAGGAAGAUCCAGGGCCUAGCUGUAGGGAUGGUCUUCCUCCGCCAGGAAGCACCCUGAGAGCUUACUGCCUCUCUGUGCUGGCUGUCACAGAGCCUCUUCUCCAUUCCUCUCCUCCCUCAGUAAACACUUGGCAUAAUCCUAGAGAAAGAUGGACCUCCUUGGAACACUGCCCCAGCCUCGGGUGGGAGGGGACAGAUGCCAGGCACAGGCCAAUGCAUUUCUGUAGGAGGAGUCAUGGCAAGACCUGCUGUCCUGCAGUGAGACCGGGGCUGACACACUCAGCAGGUAGGAUGAGAGGAUGCACAAAUGGGGCAACCACACAGCAUAGGCAUAGGCAACAGAAAGAAGUGUGCACGUUCUGUCAGGUAACGUGUUGAGUUGGUUUAGAUCUGACCAUAUCCCUUAGUAUUUCACAGGUACGUCACAAUCUGUGUUCACCGCGCUUUGGUAUCUGUCAGUGCUUCCAAAGCAAAAGGCUGGUCAAGCAAGAGUCCAUGCCUGAUUUAAGAGAGAUGCACGAGGUGUGUUGCUGCUGCUGGACAAACCACCCCUCACAGUGCGUCACGCCCGUCCACCUCACACUGCUUGGGUGAAGCUGCGGCUGCAACAGGAGGCUCUAUCCCAGCACAGACAGCAUAAAAACACAGGUCCUUAGCUUGGGCUUGUGUGCUGUCACAGAAUUUUGUUUAUUGCUUUUGAACAGAGCACUUACCCUUCCUUCUCACAGGAAUUUCUUUGUCCUUCCCUUCUUGCAGCCUGAACUUCUGGAGGGUUUACUAAUUCGCCUAUAUUUAGCACCUGCCUCCCCAUGUAUCCAACAGAAAGACACAUGGCACCUGCUCUGCAGCCAGGAGUUAUUUUAAGCACUUCUAAAACAGGGAAUAGUAUUUCACACUUUUUGCUCAAAAUUCACAUACACAUAUAAGUUCCCUAAAACAAAGUAUUCUGUAUAAUUACACCAGACUGCAUAUGCCAAUAAAACCUAAAGCUUUACUUCAGCAUAACACCAGACUGAACUACAGUAACACCUCAAAGAAGCAAACAUUAAACUCUGAAAUGGCCAGCACUGGUGUAGCUCCAAUUACCCUCCAGAAAUACAGAAGUGCCUUCUUAUAGCCUAAAGGCUGUUCUAAAUAUUACUUCAGAAUGCUAUGACAAAAUCAGCUUUAUCAACUACAUGCUGCAGUUGAAUAGCAUUGUGAUUUAUGCACAAUUUUCUAGUACAAAACCAAACCAAACAGGUCGCUUGGUGGCAUGUUUUCUUGCAGGCAUAGAGAAAGCCCGGACCCAGAGUCUUUCUGACCCAGAGACUGUCUUGUGUUUCAUGUGGCAUCUCAUCAGUUUUUGUUGUCACAGCCAUAGCUCCUAUUUGCACCCAAAAGCCAGCUCUCCCAAGUCAGCUUACAUUUUUUUGGUCACUCAUUAGAGCAUUUCUUCCUUUCACCAAUGGGCUCCCAUGCUCACCUGUUUUCUGCACGUGCCACACAGUGCCCAGGCUUUUAAGGCUAUUCCAAGGAAAGUGGGUUGACUGUCUCAAAAGGAAGCACUUAGAUUAAAGUCCUUGUGCCAUGCCACCAGCAGUGACAGCAGGGAAGCUGUUUGUCAGACUUACCAGAGCAAAGAGAAGUGCAGGCAGAAGUCAGGCAGAAAGCUCAAACCAGAGCACGACAGCAACAGGACACUGGAUUAUAAUCCUGCCACCAAGAAGACCAAGCAAGGAGGAAGGACAGAGUGACACAGCAGGAACAACCACUGCAGAGCCCGAAUGCACACUGUGCAGGGGACUGGCUCUGAUAGGCGAGCAGGGAGGCUGCCUGCUAGUUGGCAGCAUAACCUAGCUAUGUUGGCUAUUCCCUUCUCUGACAGAGAUAGCACAAGAGGUCAGAGACUCAGGCCCUUAGAAAGAAGAGAUACAGGAAGGAUUCAUAUACAGCUGCUACUCUUGAAAGCUAAGACUUAGUCCGUCAAGGAUUUGAUGUGUUGUCCUCUGUGAAAUUUAUCUUUAUUAAGCACGGACUGGUCAAACUCUGUCUAAGUCUUCUGUCUACCCCAGGAAGACUGGGGUAGCUUUCCACAGUGUGCGCUUGCACCUGUGACUGCCCUUUACAGCCUGGGAUCUGGGCUGGAUGUGUUAUAAACCUGAACCAUUUGUGGCCAUAGACUUACAGGAGGACCACUGGAGGUCUCUCGUCCAACCUCUUGCUCAAAGCAAGCUAAGCUAUGAGCUCAGACCAGGUCUCUCAAGGCCUGUAUUAAGUCUUAGUAUUAAGCUGUGUGACCUCUUGGGCAACCUGUCCUCCUUCUUGACUGUCCUCAUGGUGAAAAAGUUUCUCCUUAUAUCUAGUUUGAACCUCCUUGUUUCAGCUUCUUGUCCUUCCACCUUACACCCCUAUGGAGAGCCUAUAUCUGUCUUCUUGUUAACCUCCUUGUGGGUACUGUGGAGCUGCAGUUUGUAGCCCUCAAAGCUCUUGCUUCUCCAGGCUGAACAUCCCACCUUCCCCAGCCACCUCAUGGGGCAAAUAAUCCAACCCCAGCCACCACAGUAUCCCUCAAGUGAAUGGACCCAUUUCUUCCACUGGAAUGCUAGGAGAGAUAGCUGAUGCAGUCCUCCCUUUGAAUCUAGGAGCUCUCAAAUAAAUGUUUUUGUUGCUGCCAAGGUAACCUGCCUGACCUACUUUCUUCAUGUUACCGUGCAGGCUCACUCUGGCCUGAAGUUGUGUGUAUAAACAGCCAAGCACUCCCCAGGGAGUUCAGCUGCAUGCUGUUUAUCCAGUGACCAGCAUCUCCCACUGCUGUGGCCCACAAGUCGCUCAGGCAGCAUCUUGAGAUGCCAGAUGGCCUAAGGACCAUCUGCUGCUUACUCUCUAGGGAGAGAUGUAGGUCAGUUUAAUGCACAAAAAUGCAAACAACUGGGAAGUGAUAGGCUGGUGCUGGAGGUGGCAGGCAGUGCUAUGAGAAGAGAAAUAGGACUUUGGCUCCAGUGGAAAAUAAUGAAGCUCAGAGCAACAAUAGGAGGAAAAAUAAGUAUAUACUACACUGAUUCCGAGUAAUUUCUUAAAUUGACCCAUUGUGUGGCACUGGAGGAUCUGGAAAUGCUUUGUAACAAUAUCUGAUUCAUGAGGAUGUAAGAGAGUACAGCACUGGGCAGCUCAAUAUCAAGAAGUACUGGCUCGGAGAUGUUUGAUAUGUUGAGAGCAUCCUCGUCUUUCUCUUCAGAGGACUAAAGGUCUUCCUUUGUGGAGAUAGUUACCUGCUUGGAAAAGGCAGCUCAUAUUAUCUGAGGACGCAUGGACUACGUGGCUUAAAGAAAAAACAAUUCUUUAAACCUUCUUCAGACACUGGUGGUGGCUCAGCAGUGCUCUUAAGGAAGUCAUAGGUUUAAGGACAAAGAAAAGGUGCUUGAAAUGCUGGGAAUCUUUCGGAGGGAUUGGAAACUGGCUGGGCAUGUUUUGAGAGAAGAUAAAACUCUGUGGUUGUUUGUGAUACGGCACAGUGAGCGAACUGAAUAUAAGUGAAGAUAAGAGUGUACAGGCUUCUUGGGCUCAUUCUGUUUUGACUGGAGAAUUCUGCUCCAGCCCCUUCUUCAUUUUCCUUUCUGUGAUCAAAAUGAACAACUGAUUUACCAAGAGCUAAGCAACAGCUGAGUUGCAGAAAGUUGCCCACUCCUUGGUAAGCAGAAGGCAAGACAAGUUCUGCAUCACCAGUUCUUUCACUAUGGUAAGACUAUUAUGUGUUCACUCAUUUUUGCACUCAUUUUGUCAUGUAUUGAAGAUGUUGGAGAGCACCGAUAACUCGAUAAGGAAAUUAGACAGAGCCAUCCUUAUAAAUAUUAGCUACAAGAAAUCCAAAGCUAUGUGUCUUGAAUUAUUCUCAUUGAUGCGAUAAGGAAAACAGGGAAUGGAAAGAGGCAAAUAAAAUGCUUGCUCCUGAGCAUGUAAGUAGCAUGUAUAUGCAGAUCCCAAUGAUUGUAAAAGGGAUCUGCUAGAGUUUGGCCUGUGAAUAGAAACAACCAUCUUAAGAAUAGAGAGGGAGACAUUACAGCAGCAUGUUGAACCUGUCAUGCAGUCAGUGUGCAUGCUGAGAACAGCAAGCAUUCUGAAUCUCCAUGCUGGGAUGGUUACAUGUGCUGAGCUAUGUUGAAACCUGGAGAAAGAACAUGCUGCAAGUGCUCUCUAUGAAACCUGCACUGCUUCGGAGGUUUCUGCUUUUGGAAUGCCUAGGGCUUUUUAUGUCCCUGUUUAGGGAAAGAGAAAGAAAAGUUUUCACUAAUCCGCAAGAAAGAAACGUAUGUUUCCCAUUUUAAUGACAGACCACUUCUUGAUAAUCUAAUGUAGUAAGGCUGAAUUUCAACUGUCUUUCAUGAGAUGGAUUAUGUAUCCACAACCAGUAUUGUGGCAUUUUCACCUAUGUCUUUGGUAAUUUUACAUGGAAACUGCUCAUGUUGUAGCUUAUUUCUGGAUUAAACAUAAUCAUCAUCAGCAUAAAGCUACUGAAGAAAUAUGCUUACCAGGCGGAAAAUAACGAGUACAUUUUCACCUAAAUUUCUCAUUUUUUUCUAUGUGACAUUCAGUGAAUUCAGCCUCACCAAGUAGAAGGACUAAUUUACUAUUAAGCCAUUGUUAUUAAAGCCUUCUGGUUUUCUUUCCCCUCCCCCCUUUUUAUUUGUAUCUUUUUCUUUCCAAAGACCAUUUUCCUCACUUGGAACGUUCAGCUCUUACUCACUGAUGCUCCCCUCUCCCAUCAACACUAAAGUCUCUGGCAUUGAAACAGCUGUUUGGGAGGACGGGGUAUUCCUUCUGUGUGCCAUGGGGAGGUUUUGGUGAAAGAUCUAAGUUCAAGUUUAGAGUAACCCUCUUAAAUGUUUAAGGUCUUUUAAAAAAAUGCGGACUCUGCCUCCAGACAGUACUGUGUUAGUUAAAGUCUCUUAAAAACCUUUAAGGGUUUUUCAUUUUCCUCCUAAAUGAAAGUUUUAUUUCUGCAGGAACCGUGACAACCACUGGAAGCCAUAUAGACUGGUUAGGCCUGCAGGACAGUGAGAGAGCCUCCCCAGGUCUCCUGUCUUCUACUGUUUCACCUCAUUAUACUGAAAAUAAAAUUGAUCCAUUCUGUUUAAAC